GCGGGAAUAGCUCAGUUGGUACGGAGCAAGCGACCUUGCCAAGGUCGGGGUCGCGAGUUCGAGUCUCGUUUCCCGCUCCA
RNAcentral lists this transfer RNA (80 nucleotides) under Escherichia coli. RNAcentral's name for it is "tRNA-Gly". It matches the Rfam family "tRNA". From Rfam's summary of the family: Transfer RNA (tRNA) molecules are approximately 80 nucleotides in length. The record is from RNAcentral. Lineage: Bacteria; Pseudomonadati; Pseudomonadota; Gammaproteobacteria; Enterobacterales; Enterobacteriaceae.